This 751-nucleotide ribosomal RNA is filed under the name uncultured bacterium. RNAcentral's name for it is "bacterial SSU rRNA". It matches the Rfam family "Bacterial small subunit ribosomal RNA", at positions 33 to 773 of the family's 1533-position model. The record is from RNAcentral.
ACGCUGGCGGCAGGCCUAACACAUGCAAGUCGAGCGGUAGCACGGGAGAGCUUGCUCUCUGGGUGACGAGCGGCGGACGGGUGAGUAAUGUCUGGGAAACUGCCUGAUGGAGGGGGAUAACUACUGGAAACGGUAGCUAAUACCGCAUGACCUCGCAAGAGCAAAGUGGGGGACCUUCGGGCCUCACGCCAUCGGAUGUGCCCAGAUGGGAUUAGCUAGUAGGUGGGGUAAUGGCUCACCUAGGCGACGAUCCCUAGCUGGUCUGAGAGGAUGACCAGCCACACUGGAACUGAGACACGGUCCAGACUCCUACGGGAGGCAGCAGUGGGGAAUAUUGCACAAUGGGCGCAAGCCUGAUGCAGCCAUGCCGCGUGUGUGAAGAAGGCCUUAGGGUUGUAAAGCACUUUCAGCGAGGAGGAAGGCGUUGUAGUUAAUAGCUGCAGCGAUUGACGUUACUCGCAGAAGAAGCACCGGCUAACUCCGUGCCAGCAGCCGCGGUAAUACGGAGGGUGCAAGCGUUAAUCGGAAUUACUGGGCGUAAAGCGCACGCAGGCGGUUUGUUAAGUUGGAUGUGAAAUCCCCGGGCUCAACCUGGGAACUGCAUUCAAAACUGACUGACUAGAGUAUGGUAGAGGGUGGUGGAAUUUCCUGUGUAGCGGUGAAAUGCGUAGAUAUAGGGAGGAACACCAGUGGCGAAGGCGACCACCUGGACUGAUACUGACACUGAGGUGCGAAAGCGUGGGGAGCAAAC